GAGUGUUGCUCAGUGGUAGAGCACUGGCCUAGCAUGUGUAAGAUCCUGGGUUCCAUUCCCAGAACCACACA
This 71-nucleotide transfer RNA is filed under the name Marmota monax (woodchuck). Its description in RNAcentral is "tRNA.Ala". Lineage: Eukaryota; Metazoa; Chordata; Mammalia; Rodentia; Sciuridae. The record is from RNAcentral.